Molecule: transfer RNA, 62 nt
Filed under: Megaginus tataupensis
Lineage: Eukaryota; Metazoa; Arthropoda; Insecta; Psocodea; Heptapsogasteridae
Description: tRNA-Glu
Source: RNAcentral
CUCCGUUAGUUUAAUUAUAAAACUUCUCACUUUCUAUGAGAUGAAAGAGUUUCUACGGCAGA